RNAcentral lists this ribosomal RNA (323 nucleotides) under uncultured Acidobacteriota bacterium. RNAcentral describes it as "bacterial SSU rRNA". It matches the Rfam family "Bacterial small subunit ribosomal RNA", at positions 20 to 355 of the family's 1533-position model. Lineage: Bacteria; Pseudomonadati; Acidobacteriota. The record is from RNAcentral.
UGGCUCAGAACGAACGCUGGCGGCGUGCCUAACACAUGCAAGUCGAACGAGAAAGCCGGGGCAACCUGGUGAGUACAGUGGCGUACGGGUGAGUAACACGUGGGUAAUCUACCUCCUUGUGGGGAAUAACUUUGGGAAACCGGAGCUAAUACCGCAUAAGCUCGAGAGAGGAAAGCAGCAAUGCGCAGGGAGAGGAGCCCGCGGCCGAUUAGCUAGUUGGCAGGGUAAAAGCCUACCAAGGCAAAGAUCGGUAGCCGGCCUGAGAGGGCACACGGCCACACUGGCACUGAAACACGGGCCAGAGUCCUACGGGAGGCAGCAGU